Molecule: long non-coding RNA, 1559 nt
Organism: Helianthus annuus (common sunflower)
Lineage: Eukaryota; Viridiplantae; Streptophyta; Magnoliopsida; Asterales; Asteraceae
Exons: 8
Source: RefSeq, a predicted model, not a curated record
UGUGGCAGUUCCGGGCAGUUGUUUGCGGUGGUGGUUACUUCUAUCUUUCUCUGCCCAUUAUCCCCACAACUUCCAUCAGUCUCCUAGAAACCUGGUAGUGCUCUCAAAUUCAGUUUACGCUUGCAAGCAGUUGACGACGGUUCCCCACGCUCCCGUAAUUUUUGGUCUGUUGAAUCUGUUCUUCUCACCCACCUAUAAAUAUGUCGUCUCAUCUCUCCAAUUAAUCUGAAUUGCCAAAUCAAAAGGAAAAAUUAGGUGAAUGAAGAUGGUAGACAUCCCUACGAUUGAAGGAGUGAGCAGGGGUCGAUUUAAUUGGUCUAGGGCCAUACCCAUGAGUUCAAGAUGUUCUUCCAAUUGUUGUUACAGAAAUCACCCCUAAAUUCAAUGAUUGAGUUCGAUUGGUCAUGCUUAAGGUUUCAUUAGAAAUAUUUGGAACCUUGAGCAGAAGAAACCAAAAUGGUUUUCUCCAAAGCCAAGGAAAUUGUUUCCUCAAAUCCCCUUAUCAUAUCCAGGGUAACUACAAAACAAAAUGAGGUAGAGAUGAAGGCUUUCACACCGUGACUAAACUUCAGGGACUAUUUUGGCAGUUUACUUUUUUUUAUUAUAAAGUUUCUUUCUGCUUACUUAGACUACGGGUUGUGGAGGGGCUUGGGUUGGGGGCAUUGCUGGCGAGUGUGGGAUCCACAAGAUAAUAUUCAAAACAAGGGGUGUAGUGUGGCAUGGCUUCGGCUGGCGUGACCAGCCAUGUGGAUUUUGUUUUUUUUUUGUUUAAACUAUUUUAAAUUUCAUUUAAUUAAAAUAACACACUGAUUAAAAUAACACACCAAUCAAAGCCAACCAUGUCAUCUUCCCCCCUCCCCCCCUCCCCCGGGCGGGGCAACGCCAUGGCCAACGCUAGCCCGGUGUGGUCUAGCCAGCGUUGCUUGGCAACCGUUGCCCCAACCCACGGUCUUAGUUCUGACUUUUGUACAGAGUGUUCGGUUACAUGUAAAAUUAUGGCUCCCAAAUGCUCAUUUGUUAUGGAAUGCCUUGCAGCAACAGCAAGUACAGAUAUAAAUCCUAGUGGAGAAAUUAUGGUUUUGGAUAGAUUUUCUCAUGUGCAUCUCAUUGCUAUAAGGAUCAUAUUGCUUUGGCCACCCUCAUGUAUAAGAUCUUCAUGCAGUUCCACAGUUUCAUGGAGGUUGAACAUCUUCCGGUUAUUUCACCCUCACAACAUCAAAAGGAGAGUGUUGCUUGCCUUGCUGAGAGGAUUGGGAAUCAGCUCAUGGAAACUACAAUGAUCAUGUCAAUACACAUAGCUUUAAUUGUCUAUAAGCAUGCCGUUGAAAUAUGGAAGCUUAUUGAUGAAACUUGGACAAAGGUGUUUGCUCAUCCGGAUGUUGUGUGUAUAUCAUUGUCGGUGAAGUCAUUUUUUUCUAAUAUGUGAAUUCAAAUGGCAAAUGCCUUGUGAUACUAGAGUGGAGAGAUUUCUUUUGUCUACCAUUUACUUUUGUAUGAAAAUGAUGGUGAUACUAUUCAUAUUUAAGUAGUUUACCAAUUUUAUUAUUCCUUUACCAGUU